AACUUCCUCAUAAUGGGAACGCCGAACUUCGACUCCGCACUGCUCGGCCAAGCGAAUCAAUCCAACAGCAUAACGAAUUGCCGCGACGGUCAGCUGAGAAAGUGCCAUCUUUCUCCUGGCGACGAAUCCAAGCAAGAAUAUCGGGAUGGGAAACGACAAGCCGCACUCAGUGAGAAACUUCUCGUAGACGCACAUAUAACCCUCCGGAGUCGUCCAAGGACGCUCGUGCGUUUCCGGGACCCGAGCCACUAAACCACGCGGUGCGUUACAAAAGCGAAGCGCGGUACUCAUGGAAGAAGCCGACGUCUUGGUUGGUCCCAGAUAGUCAGCCGAGCCGGGCUUAGGGCCGGAUACACCAGGAAAUACACCAAUCUCAUCAGAAACUGUCAUCUCCUUAACAUCGUCCCCAAAACCUCCCCCAACCGCAGAUCGAGGUUCGAAGAUCGCGAUCUCCUCAGAAGCUAUGGCUUCCUUGAAAUCCUCAUCACCAAUUUCCUCAUCUGUAAGCCGGGGUUUGAAAGUGGUGGUCGCCGCAGCACCUGUUUCAGCCCGGUCAACUAGAGGAGAAGAAAUGCGGCGCCGUAGCUCGGCCACAACAGAAGUUCGCGAAGACGACCCAGAGGAAGAAUAUCCCGCCUCGACAAGAUCGUCAUCAAGAGAUUCGGCUCGAAAACGGUCGGCUCCAGAACGCUCUGAAGAACCGUCCGGGGUGCGAGAUCGACGAUGGUCGGAGAGAGAACUGAUGGAAAUAUCUGACGACGGCAUUACAAAUUACGAGCUCAAAAUAGAGAAGGGGAAGAAGAAAGUACCUUUGGCUGCGAAGAAUCCUGAGAAAACUAAGCGUGUUUCUCGCAUUUAUAGAGGCGAGAAAAUGACCUAGGAAAUCAUUGUGCCGCCGAGUAGGCGCAAUGAUUACCUACGCACCGCUUCAGCUUCCGAAUCCGCAAGAAACCAAGUGCACGAAUCAGAAGGCACGUUGGAUCCACGCGCUGCAUCGAAAAGGACGAAGCCACAGGCGCGUCAGUUUCGCUGAUCUGUUAAAUCCGACGUCCGCAACCGAACAUCGGAUUGGGGGACAACUGUUGAUACAUCAAUUGGGCCUCAGUGAUCAACCGGCCCAUUUCAAGGAAUAACGACCCAGCCCGACCAUCACUUUAGAACUCGAGCCGGCCCAGCAGGCCGAAGCCCAGCCUGGUCAGGAUGUGAGUUCAGCUGCGUAGAAAAGGGGGGCACUCUCGGGAAUUCACCUUGCGUACCCUACUAUACGGACGGGUAUAAAUAAGGAAUAGAAAGUCUCGGGAGAAGGGACGUUUUUCGGGACCUGGAGAAAGGAUAGCACAAGUCAGCUCGCCCGGAAGAGCCAGCUCAUCGAUACAAGUCAGCUCGUCGAGAGAAGUCUGCUCGUCGAAGAUCAGCCAGCUCGCCCAGAAGAGCCAGCUCACUAGAACCACCAGCUCGAAACGGCAUCGCCUCGUAGCGCCCUCAACUACGCUCUCAGUUCGCAAUAAGCCUUUCAGCCCGUCGAUUGCCCAGCUUCAAGUUCAGCUCGUGGAUUAGAGAUUGAUUCUUCACCUUCCCCAGAGACUCACCCGUACUUGUUUAAUUCGUGCAUUAACACAACCGUUCACACCUCCUUGAGAAGUGAUCUCACGGUGCGGAUGAAACCCGUUUACUUGGACCGCACUCUCCAUUGGUUGA
Molecule: small RNA, 1698 nt
Filed under: Arabidopsis thaliana (thale cress)
Lineage: Eukaryota; Viridiplantae; Streptophyta; Magnoliopsida; Brassicales; Brassicaceae
Description: ATSL014340
Source: RNAcentral